This 103-nucleotide transfer RNA is filed under the name Caenorhabditis elegans. Its description in RNAcentral is "Unclassified non-coding RNA T03E6.13". The record is from RNAcentral. Lineage: Eukaryota; Metazoa; Nematoda; Chromadorea; Rhabditida; Rhabditidae.
AAACUGCGAAAAAAGAGCAUAGGUCCCACCGAGAUUUGAACUCGGGUCGCAGGAUUCAGAGUCCUGAGUGCUAACCGCUACACCAUGGAACCGCGGUGUACAG